UGUUAACGCUGUCCAAAGACAGCAGGUGCUUUUAUGCUUAAACGAUAUUUUAUCGGCCUGCCGAGGAUGAGGUGUUAUAAUUUGAUUAUUACGCUCCUUCCACGGCUUAAUGGAGGGAGCUUUUCUUUUG
RNAcentral lists this small RNA (130 nucleotides) under pig gut metagenome. Its description in RNAcentral is "Ribosomal protein L10 leader". It matches the Rfam family "Ribosomal protein L10 leader", at positions 19 to 133 of the family's 138-position model. From Rfam's summary of the family: This family is a putative r-protein leader autoregulatory structure found in B. subtilis and other low-GC Gram-positive bacteria. It is located in the 5' untranslated regions of mRNAs encoding ribosomal proteins L10 and L12 (rplJ-rplL). The record is from RNAcentral.